RNAcentral lists this unclassified non-coding RNA (430 nucleotides) under uncultured fungus. Its description in RNAcentral is "partial contains small subunit ribosomal RNA, internal transcribed spacer 1, and 5.8S ribosomal RNA". The stretch from base 1 to 73 matches the Rfam family "Eukaryotic small subunit ribosomal RNA", at positions 1759 to 1831 of the family's 1831-position model. Lineage: Eukaryota; Fungi. The record is from RNAcentral.
UCAAACUUGGUCAUUUAGAGGAAGUAAAAGUCGUAACAAGGUUUCCGUAGGUGAACCUGCGGAAGGAUCAUUACAACGUAUCCACGUACCAAACUCUCGAACUGUUCCCAACGGAGUAAACACACUUGUGGAUGAAGUUAAUGAUGGACUGUCUUUCGCUGAUGGAGUUCGCUGACUUUUGUCAGAGGACUGAGAGACUUUCUGUCGUCAGAGCUCUAGUCUCUGAGACUUCGUUUGCUCCGCUGCGGUUUUACCGUCAGCGUUUUACCAUUAUUAACCCUAUGAAAUUCUGAACUGAACUUGAAAGCCUAGCAGCGGUCCUUGUUGGCUUCGGUCACGGACUUAGCGGCCUGGUUUUUUCUUAUUUACGAAACAAAGAACAACUCUUAGCAACGGAUAUCUUGGUUCUCGUAUCGAUGAAGAACGCAGC